Non-coding RNA from Pongo abelii (Sumatran orangutan), 117 nucleotides. The record is from Rfam. Lineage: Eukaryota; Metazoa; Chordata; Mammalia; Primates; Hominidae.
GCCGGGCGCGGUGGUUCACGCCUGUAAUCCCAGCACUUUGGGAGGCCGAGGCGGGUGGAUCACCUGAGGUCAGGAGUUCGAGACCAGCCUGACCAAUAUGGUGAGACCCCAUCUCUA